Molecule: long non-coding RNA, 2384 nt
Organism: Cottoperca gobio
Lineage: Eukaryota; Metazoa; Chordata; Actinopteri; Perciformes; Bovichtidae
Exons: 5
Source: RefSeq, a predicted model, not a curated record
AUCCUGUAUGGAUCCAAGCAUUAAACUUCACAGCAAAAACUGGAGAGUUGACAUUUCAGGGUUAAACAUUUCCAAGUUGAUGUCAACUCAUGAAGUGUUAAUUUAACAUUUUCUGAUUCAAAUGUUUUUUAUUGUUGGAGUUAUUUCACAAUGUUAAUCAUGUCAGAGUUAGACCAACUCUGCAGAGACGUGAUUAUGCUCCGUCCCUGUAUGUCACUGCUUCGGUUGGAGACGAGAUUACGACGAGUCUGCCUCAAUUUUCUCUCCUCAUGCAGUUCACAGGUAAAAAUGUUGGUCCAGGUGAAGUACAGACAACAGCAGAAAUGUGACAUUGGAUGCAGUUGAAGGACAGUUUGACUUUCUACAAUUCAAGGAAAAAGAUUUUGCCUGCCACCUGAUGCAAAAGUUGUAUACAAGGAUGCAACAGACAGAGAGAAGUUAAUACAGAAAUAUUCAGAGACAUCAUUGGACGAGGCAACGUGGUGUUGACAGUUUUCUCAGAGUUCUCCGAAGGGUCUUUUUUCCUCUGCUUCUGAUAAGUCCGAUUCAAGCUUCAGCUCAAGUGCAUCAUCUGCGAAUGUCGAAGCAAUUCCGAGCAAGAGACAAAGAAUCGAGGAUACACUUGAUGCAGUGUCUGCUAAACGGGUCAUCACAAAGCUUGUUUCUCAGUAGUCUCUUAACACUUUCUCUAGAAAAGCUGUUUAUCAUUAUGUUUUGUGUUAUGUUUUCUUUAUUAGUUGAUUGAAGCUGUGCUGAGGCAAGUCUGGUGGUGAAGAAGUACUACAGGAAUACCAAACAAUAGAAACAUUAAAAGAUGCCACAAGAAGACAAAUGGUUAACAUACUAGUAGCUCGCAUGAUUGAAAAUCAUGAGUGUGUUUUUUUUAUAUUGUUUUAUUUGUGCCAAAUAACUGCAUGCCCAUUGUGCAAAUUUUGAUUAGGAAUUUAAUAUCUUAAUAUCUCCUCUCAGGCACAUCCCUACUAAAGCUAUAAGAGAAGAGUAUGCUCUUGGGAUAGUGACGUCGUUCCCUUCCCUCAAGGAUCAUUAUAUAAAGAAAGGCUAUGUAAUAUUCCUUUAUUAUUAUUAUUAUUUGCAUGAAAGUUGCAUAUCAAACGUGCAUAUUAUGUCACAACAGCGUUUGUAUGACAUUGACAUUUGAGUUAUUUAAAGUUUUAUUUCAGGAACACUUCCAUGAUGCUACAAGAAACACAGGAUACAUUUCUUGGCGUCUGAAAGCAAUCCAACAAAAGAUUUGUUGAGGAUCUGCACAAUCACUAAAUAGCCCUAUGGACACUUCUCCCAAAUGUCCAACGAGCUAUUCAUGUGCAAAGACAGCUGGAUGGGGACGUUUGCCAAGAGGACAUGUCUUUGCUCAACCAUACCACAGACAAUUCCCUGAUUUUUCAGAAAAUGAGAGAAACCGUUCAGCACCGUCAGAAGCUUGUUACUGACCCAAGCAGAGGUGUUGAUAUCCUCUCCACAUUCCCAAGAUUCCUGGAUAGCAAAGGAUUGAUCCAGAGUGUCGACGUAGCAGCUUUCAAGAAGAUCUGAUUCCAGUGUCUCUUUGUUUCGUCUCGUUUCUCUGCUGACGGUUAAUAGGAAAAACAAACGCUUGCACUUCAGCUAUUGUCUCGUGGUUUAGUGUUCUUGUCCUAAGAUUUAAAGGAUCAGUUCCCCCAAAUGACAAAUAUUUACCUUUAGUGGGGCACGCUGAUAGUUUUGGUUUAAUUUUUCCAGAUCCUUCCUUCUCAAUACACUUGAGGUGAGAGGAAUUUUGCUUAAGUUACUCACAAAAAAUGAAAAUUUUACGAAAACAAUGACACUGUUGCUCUGGAUAAUUCACAGACCUCACACUAAAGUUUUCUCUUGGACGACUUUCUACCACUUUCUAUUAAAGAAAAGGUCCCUCACAAUAAAGUGUUGGCAGUGAGGUCUGUGGAUUGUUCAGAGCAGCAGGGAUUGUUUCUGCAAAGUUGGUUUAAUCUUUUUAGAAGUUAAAACUAUCUACAUGGUUUAAUAUCUACAGUAUAAUGAAUAUUGAAGGGAUCAGACUACAAGAUGAUGUCUUUUCACAUUUUUCAUGAAAUACUAUAACUUUUUUAUGACUUUCUAAAGAUGUACUAUACUAUGACUUUUGACAUUGUUCUAUAUCAUGCUAAUAUUAAAAAAUAUUUUUCAUAAUGGAAUAUUUAAUGACAAAUUAUAUUCACAUUCUUUUAUGACAAAUGAUACUAUGUCUACUGUAAUAUAUUUUUUUGUGGUGUCAUAACCUGGCUCUUAGGCCAAGACAAACAUGAAAUUAAAGGUCUUUAUUGUAAAAAAGGAAACAAGCAAACAAAAAGCUACAAAUGUGAAGUGUGUCCGUCAGUAAAAGACAAAGGUUA